GACGAACGCUGGCGGCGUGCUUAACACAUGCAAGUCGAACGGAAAGACCCUGCUUUUGUGGGGUGCUCGAGUGGCGAACGGGUGAGUAACACGUGAGUAACCUGCCCUUGACUUUGGGAUAACUUCAGGAAACUGGGGCUAAUACCGGAUAGGAGCUCCUGCUGCAUGGUGGGGGUUGGAAAGUUUCGGCGGUUGGGGAUGGACUCGCGGCUUAUCAGCUUGUUGGUGGGGUAGUGGCUUACCAAGGCUUUGACGGGUAGCCGGCCUGAGAGGGUGACCGGCCACAUUGGGACUGGGAUACGGCCCAGGCUCCUACGGGAGGCAGCAGUGGGGAAUAUUGCCAAAUGGGCGGAAGCCUGAUACAGCACCGCCGCGUGCGGAAUGACGGCUUUCGGGUUGUAAACCGCUUUCGCCUGUGACGAAGCGUGAGUGACGGUAAUGGGUAAAGAAGCACCGGUGACCUACGU
RNAcentral lists this ribosomal RNA (467 nucleotides) under uncultured bacterium. RNAcentral's name for it is "partial 16S ribosomal RNA". It matches the Rfam family "Bacterial small subunit ribosomal RNA", at positions 28 to 506 of the family's 1533-position model. The record is from RNAcentral.